Molecule: ribosomal RNA, 418 nt
Filed under: uncultured bacterium
Lineage: Bacteria
Description: bacterial SSU rRNA
Rfam family: Bacterial small subunit ribosomal RNA
Source: RNAcentral
AGAGUUUGAUCCUGGCUCAGAAUGAACGUUGGCGGCGUGGAUUAGGCAUGCAAGUCGAGCGAGAACCCGCAAGGGGGACAGCGGCGAACGGGGUAGUAAUGCGUAGGUGACGUGCCCAUAGGGCCGGAAUAGCCACGGGAAACUGUGGGUAAUGCCGGAUAAUCUCCCCGAUUUUAAACUUUUGGGGAGCAAUGGGUGUGAUUCCACCAAUGGAGCGGCUUACGUGGUAUUAGCUAGUUGGUGAGGUAACGGCUCACCAAGGCGACGAUGCCUAGGGGGUGUGAGAGCAUGGCCCCCACCACUGGGACUGAGAUACUGCCCAGACACCUACGGGUGGCUGCAGUCGAGAAUCUUCGGCAAUGGACGAAAGUCUGACCGAGCGACGCCGCGUGCGGGAUGAAGGCCUUCGGGUUGUAAA